UGUAUUUAUUAGAUUAAAAACCAAUGCCCUUCGGGGCUCCUUGGUGAUUCAUAAUAACUUAACGAAUCGCAUGGCCUUGUGCCGGCGAUGGUUCAUUCAAAUUUCUGCCCUAUCAACUUUCGAUGGUAGUAUAUGGGACUACCAUGGUUUCAACGGGUAACGGGGAAUUAGGGUUCGAUUCCGGAGAGGGAGCCUGAGAAACGGCUACCACAUCCAAGGAAGGCAGCAGGCGCGCAAAUUACCCAAUCCCGACGCGGGGAGGUAGUGACAAUAAAUACUGAUACAGGGCUCUUUUGGGUCUUGUAAUCGGAAUGAGUACAAUUUAAACCCCUUAACGAGGAACAAUUGGAGGGCAAGUCUGGUGCCAGCAGCCGCGGUAAUUCCAGCUCCAAUAGCGUAUAUUAAAGUUGUUGCAGUUAAAAAGCUCGUAGUUGAACCUUGGGCCUGGCUGGCCGGUCCGCCUCACCGCGUGCACUGGUCCGGCCGGGCCUUUCCUUCUGGAGAGCCCCAUGCCCUUCACUGUGGCGUGCGGGGGAACCAGG
RNAcentral lists this ribosomal RNA (542 nucleotides) under uncultured eukaryote. RNAcentral's name for it is "SSU rRNA". It matches the Rfam family "Eukaryotic small subunit ribosomal RNA", at positions 202 to 746 of the family's 1831-position model. The record is from RNAcentral.